CCUACGGGAGGCAGCAGUGGGGAAUAUUGGGCAAUGGGCGAAAGCCUGACCCAGCAACGCCGCGUGAAGGAUGAAGGCUUUCGGGUUGUAAACUUCCUUUGACAGGGAAGUGCAGAGGACGGUACCUGUCGAAUAAGCUACGGCUAACUACGUGCCAGCAGCCGCGGUAAUACGUAGGUGGCAAGCGUUGUCCGGAUUUACUGGGUGUAAAGGGCGUGUAGCCGGGCUGACAAGUCAGAUGUGAAAUCUGGGGGCUCAACCCCCGAACUGCAUUUGAAACUGGUGGUCUUGAGUAUCGGUGAGGCAGGCGGAAUUCGUGGUGUAGCGGUGAAAUGCGUAGAUAUUAGGAGGAACACCGAUGGCGAAGGCGGCCUGCUGGACGACGACUGACGGUGAGGCGCGAAAGCGUGGGGAGCAAACAGGAUUAGAUACCCUUGUAGUC
RNAcentral lists this ribosomal RNA (442 nucleotides) under uncultured bacterium. RNAcentral's name for it is "partial 16S ribosomal RNA". It matches the Rfam family "Bacterial small subunit ribosomal RNA", at positions 338 to 795 of the family's 1533-position model. The record is from RNAcentral.